Molecule: ribosomal RNA, 497 nt
Filed under: uncultured bacterium
Lineage: Bacteria
Description: partial 16S ribosomal RNA
Rfam family: Bacterial small subunit ribosomal RNA
Source: RNAcentral
GAUGAACGCUGGCGGCGUGCCUAAUACAUGCAAGUCGAGCGAACGGACGAGAAGCUUGCUUCUCUGAUGUUAGCGGCGGACGGGUGAGUAACACGUGGAUAACCUACCUAUAAGACUGGGAUAACUUCGGGAAACCGGAGCUAAUACCGGAUGAUAUUUUGAACCGCAUGGUUCAAAAGUGAAAGACGGUCUUGCUGUCACUUAUAGAUGGAUCCGCGCUGCAUUAGCUAGUUGGUAAGGUAACGGCUUACCAAGGCAACGAUGCAUAGCCGACCUGAGAGGGUGAUCGGCCACACUGGAACUGAGACACGGUCCAGACUCCUACGGGAGGCAGCAGUAGGGGAUCUUCCGCAAUGGGCGAAAGCCUGACGGAGCAACGCCGCGGGAGUGAUGAAGAUCUUCGGAUCGUAAAACUCUGUUAUGAGGGAAGAACAUAUGUGUAAGUAACUGUGCACAUCUUGACGGUACCUAAUCAAAAAGCCACGGCUAACUACGUG